UCGAGGGGUAUAGUUUUUCGGAAUUAGAGACCGGCGCACGGGUGCGUAACGCGUAUGCAAUCUACCUUUUACAGAGGGAUAGCCCAGAGAAAUUUGGAUUAAUACCUCAUAGCAUUGCAGAAUGGCAUCAUUCAGCAAUUAAAGUCACAACGGUAAAAGAUGAGCAUGCGUCCCAUUAGCUAGUUGGUAAGGUAACGGCUUACCAAGGCUACGAUGGGUAGGGGUCCUGAGAGGGAGAUCCCCCACACUGGUACUGAGACACGGACCAGACUCCUACGGGAGGCAGCAGUGAGGAAUAUUGGUCAAUGGGCGCAAGCCUGAACCAGCCAUGCCGCGUGCAGGAUGACGGUCCUAUGGAUUGUAAACUGCUUUUGUACAGGAAGAAACAACUCUACGUGUAGGGUCUUGACGGUACUGUAAGAAUAAGGAUCGGCUAACUCCGUGCCAGCAGCCGCGGUAAUACGGAGGAUCCAAGCGUUAUCCGGAAUCAUUGGGUUUAAAGGGUCCGUAGGCGGUUUAGUAAGUCAGUGGUGAAAGCCCAUCGCUCAACGGUGGAACGGCCAUUGAUACUGCUAGACUUGAAUUAUUAGGAAGUAACUAGAAUAUGUAGUGUAGCGGUGAAAUGCUUAGAGAUUACAUGGAAUACCAAUUGC
This 653-nucleotide ribosomal RNA is filed under the name uncultured Bacteroidota bacterium. RNAcentral describes it as "bacterial SSU rRNA". It matches the Rfam family "Bacterial small subunit ribosomal RNA", at positions 62 to 716 of the family's 1533-position model. The record is from RNAcentral. Lineage: Bacteria; Pseudomonadati; Bacteroidota.